RNAcentral lists this small RNA (482 nucleotides) under Pongo abelii (Sumatran orangutan). RNAcentral's name for it is "retained intron". Lineage: Eukaryota; Metazoa; Chordata; Mammalia; Primates; Hominidae. The record is from RNAcentral.
UUUUAUGUUCCGCAGGUUCUCCUCAUCCUGACUGCCCUACAGCCCUCCAUCUUCUCAGUCUUGGCCAACGGCGGGCAGAUUGCUUGUUCGCCUCCCUAUUCCUCUAAAACCAGGUCUCAAGUGAUGAAUUGCCACCUCCUCAUACUGGAGACUUUUCUAAUGACUGUGCUGACACGAAUGUACUACCGAAGGAAAGACCACAAGGUUGGCUAUGAAACUUUCUCUUCUCCAGACAUGGACUGGAACCUCAAAACCUAAGGUGGAUGGCUGGGACAAUGAAAGGAUGCUGUACUCAUUAGAAUACAAGAUUCCUUUACUGUCCCUCAACGUUGACCAAAUGGGAAGCAUUCCCCCUUGUCAACACAAGCUGGCAGAUACAUUUGACUUUACAGAUGAAGGUGAACAAUGUUAGGAUAAAAUUGCUUUGGAUCUUGCCUGGAAGGUGUUUUAAGUUUUGUAAUAAACAAGAUGACGUCUGAAAA